RNAcentral lists this ribosomal RNA (17 nucleotides) under Balansia henningsiana. Its description in RNAcentral is "partial 28S ribosomal RNA". Lineage: Eukaryota; Fungi; Ascomycota; Sordariomycetes; Hypocreales; Clavicipitaceae. The record is from RNAcentral. RNAcentral also lists the same sequence under 2 other names.
GUUGACCUCGAAUCAGG